This 64-nucleotide non-coding RNA is filed under the name uncultured Luteococcus sp. RNAcentral describes it as "Actino-pnp RNA". It matches the Rfam family "Actino-pnp RNA". Lineage: Bacteria; Bacillati; Actinomycetota; Actinomycetes; Propionibacteriales; Propionibacteriaceae. The record is from RNAcentral.
CUGGUCCUCGGUAGUGGCCUUCGGGCGGGAUCCGUCCCGGCCGCGGGCCUCGAUCGAAGACCGG